AGGGAGGCAUUAGGGGACCGACCAGGGCUAGUAGCUUUACGUUGUUGAACGUCCAGUAUGGACCCGAAGCCUCCCCCAUCUAAACCCUCUGCGUACCUGUCCCUUCUUGCUUCCCCCGGCAUCUCGUCGGGGGGAGGUAACAACCAAAACUCUCUGUGAAUCAAACAGCCGUCAGAAUUAUAAAACAAACAAAAAGUUAAAACUUUCAACAACGGAUCUCUUGGUUCCCACAUCGAUGAAGAACGCAGCGAAAUGCGAUAAGUAAUGUGAAUUGCAGAAUUCAGUGAAUCAUCGAAUCUUUGAACGCACAUUGCGCCCCCUGGUAUUCCGGGGGGCAUGCCUGUUCGAGCGUCAUAAAAACCUCCUCCCCCUUCGGGUUUUGUUACUAUCGUUGGGGGGUUUUGGCCUAAUGGGAUAGCGAUUGGCAAUUCGUUUCCCAAUGUCCUAAAUAGACGUAGACCCGCCUCCAGAUGCGACAGCACCGAGGCCAUCAACCGUGGAGUUAUGGGAUAUAAUAGGCUUGCAGUAAAAUGCUCACCUCUCUCCACACGCCGAUGGCACGACAGUUGCAGUUGCGGGCGUAAAUUGGAGCCCUUUUCACGACCCUCGUGGCCUAGCAUCCACCAUACAUAAUUUGACCUCGGAUCAGGUAGGGAUACC
RNAcentral lists this ribosomal RNA (660 nucleotides) under Morchella sp. SOC428. Its description in RNAcentral is "eukaryotic LSU rRNA". The stretch from base 201 to 354 matches the Rfam family "5.8S ribosomal RNA". Lineage: Eukaryota; Fungi; Ascomycota; Pezizomycetes; Pezizales; Morchellaceae. The record is from RNAcentral.